CUGAGUGAGGGCCUUCUGGUCCGACCUCCAACCCCAUGUUAUCCGACACUGUUGCCUCCGGGGCGACCCGGCCUUCGGGCGUCGGGGCCCCGGGUGGACCAUUCAAACACUGCAUCUUUGCGUCUGAGUACACGAUUGAAUCAAUCA
RNAcentral lists this unclassified non-coding RNA (147 nucleotides) under uncultured fungus. Its description in RNAcentral is "sequence contains ITS1, 5.8S rRNA gene". Lineage: Eukaryota; Fungi. RNAcentral also lists the same sequence under 1 other name. The record is from RNAcentral.